Molecule: transfer RNA, 73 nt
Filed under: Candidatus Nomurabacteria bacterium RIFCSPLOWO2_01_FULL_36_10b
Lineage: Bacteria; Candidatus Nomuraibacteriota
Description: tRNA-Val
Rfam family: tRNA
About the family: Transfer RNA (tRNA) molecules are approximately 80 nucleotides in length.
Source: RNAcentral
GUGCGAUUAGCUCAUUUGGUAGAGCGCCCGCUUGACUCGCGGGAGGCGACAGGUUCAAAUCCUGUAUCGCAUA